This 548-nucleotide ribosomal RNA is filed under the name Fusarium solani. Its description in RNAcentral is "eukaryotic LSU rRNA". The stretch from base 183 to 336 matches the Rfam family "5.8S ribosomal RNA". Lineage: Eukaryota; Fungi; Ascomycota; Sordariomycetes; Hypocreales; Nectriaceae. The record is from RNAcentral.
UCUCCGUUGGUGAACCAGCGGAGGGAUCAUUACCGAGUUAUACAACUCAUCAACCCUGUGAACAUACCUAAAACGUUGCUUCGGCGGGAACAGACGGCCCUGUAACAACGGGCCGCCCCCGCCAGAGGACCCCUAACUCUGUCUUUAUAAUGUUUUUCUGAGUAAACAAGCAAAUAAAUUAAAACUUUCAACAACGGAUCUCUUGGCUCUGGCAUCGAUGAAGAACGCAGCGAAAUGCGAUAAGUAAUGUGAAUUGCAGAAUUCAGUGAAUCAUCGAAUCUUUGAACGCACAUUGCGCCCGCCAGUAUUCUGGCGGGCAUGCCUGUUCGAGCGUCAUUACAACCCUCAGGCCCCCGGGCCUGGCGUUGGGGAUCGGCGGAAGCCCCCUGUGGGCACACGCCGUCCCUCAAAUACAGUGGCGGUCCCGCCGCAGCUUCCAUUGCGUAGUAGCUAACACCUCGCAACUGGAGAGCGGCGCGGCCAUGCCGUAAAACACCCAACUUCUGAAUGUUGACCUCGAAUCAGGUAGGAAUACCCGCUGAACUUAA